GGUGAACGCUGGCGGCGUGCCUAACACAUGCAAGUCGAACGGUGACGGCGGAGCUUGCUCUUCUUGCUCAGUGGCGGACGCGUGCGUAACACGUGAGCAAUCUGCCCCUCACUUUCGUAUAAGCGCUGGAAACGGCGUCUCAUACUUGCUACGAGCUGCGUAGGCAUCUUCAGCAGCUGGCAAGAAUUUCUGUCAGGGAUGAUCUCGCGGCCUAUGAGCUUGUUGGUGACGGAAUGGCUCACCAACGCGUCGACGGGUAGCCGGCCUGAGAGGGGGAACGGGGACAAUGGGACUAAGAGAGGGCGCAGACGCCAACAGGGGGCAGCGGGGGGAAGUAUUGAACAACGGGCGAGAGCCUGAGGAAGAGACGCCGGGUGAGGGACGACGGCCUGCGGGGUAUAAACAGCUGUUGGCAGGGAAGAAGCGAAAGUGACGGUACCUGAAGAAAAAGCGCCGGCUAACUACGUG
Molecule: ribosomal RNA, 468 nt
Filed under: uncultured bacterium
Lineage: Bacteria
Description: partial 16S ribosomal RNA
Rfam family: Bacterial small subunit ribosomal RNA
Source: RNAcentral